AGAGUUUGAUCAUGGCUCAGGACGAACGCUGGCGGCGUGCCUAAUACAUGCAAGUCGAACGAACUCUGGUAUUGAUUGGUGCUUGCAUCAUGAUUUACAUUUGAGUGAGUGGCGAACUGGUGAGUAACACGUGGGAAACCUGCCCAGAAGCGGGGGAUAACACCUGGAAACAGAUGCUAAUACCGCAUAACAACUUGGACCGCAUGGUCCGAGUUUGAAAGAUGGCUUCGGCUAUCACUUUUGGAUGGUCCCGCGGCGUAUUAGCUAGAUGGUGAGGUAACGGCUCACCAUGGCAAUGAUACGUAGCCGACCUGAGAGGGUAAUCGGCCACAUUGGGACUGAGACACGGCCCAAACUCCUACGGGAGGCAGCAGUAGGGAAUCUUCCACAAUGGACGAAAGUCUGAUGGAGCAACGCCGCGUGAGUGAAGAAGGGUUUCGGCUCGUAAAACUCUGUUGUUAAAGAAGAACAUAUCUGAGAGUAACUGUUCAGGUAUUGACGGUAUUUAACCAGAAAGCCACGGCUAACUACGUGCCAGCAGCCGCGGUAAUACGUAGGUGGCAAGCGUUGUCCGGAUUUAUUGGGCGUAAAGCGAGCGCAGGCGGUUUUUUAAGUCUGAUGUGAAAGCCUUCGGCUCAACCGAAGAAGUGCAUCGGAAACUGGGAAACUUGAGUGCAGAAGAGGACAGUGGAACUCCAUGUGUAGCGGUGAAAUGCGUAGAUAUAUGGAAGAACACCAGUGGCGAAGGCGGCUGUCUGGUCUGUAACUGACGCUGAGGCUCGAAAGUAUGGGUAGCAAACAGGAUUAGAUACCCUGGUAGUCCAUACCGUAAACGAUGAAUGCUAAGUGUUGGAGGGUUUCCGCCCUUCAGUGCUGCAGCUAACGCAUUAAGCACUCCGCCUGGGGAGUACGACCGCAAGGUUGAAACUCAAAGGAAUUGACGGGGGCCCGCACAAGCGGUGGAGCAUGUGGUUUAAUUCGAAGCUACGCGAAGAACCUUACCAGGUCUUGACAUCUUGCGCCAACCCUAGAGAUAGGGCGUUUCCUUCGGGAACGCAAUGACAGGUGGUGCAUGGUCGUCGUCAGCUCGUGUCGUGAGAUGUUGGGUUAAGUCCCGCAACGAGCGCAACCCUUGUUACUAGUUGCCAGCAUUAAGUUGGGUACUCUAGUGAGACUGCCGGUGACAAACCGGAGGAAGGUGGGGAUGACGUCAAAUCAUCAUGCCCCUUAUGACCUGGGCUACACACGUGCUACAAUGGCGUAUACAACGAGUUGCCAACCCGCGAGGGUGAGCUAAUCUCUUAAAGUACGUCUCAGUUCGGAUUGUAGGCUGCAACUCGCCUACAUGAAGUCGGAAUCGCUAGUAAUCGCGGAUCAGCACGCCGCGGUGAAUACGUUCCCGGGUCUUGUACACACCGCCCGUCACACCAUGAGAGUUUGUAACACCCAAAGCCGGUGGGGUAACCUUCGGGAGCCAGCCGUCUAAGGUGGGACAGAUGAUUAGGGUGAAGUCGUAACAAGGUAACC
Molecule: ribosomal RNA, 1527 nt
Filed under: uncultured Bacillus sp.
Lineage: Bacteria; Bacillati; Bacillota; Bacilli; Caryophanales; Bacillaceae
Description: bacterial SSU rRNA
Rfam family: Bacterial small subunit ribosomal RNA
Source: RNAcentral